This is a long non-coding RNA of Gallus gallus (chicken), 2699 nucleotides long. The record is from Ensembl. NCBI's taxonomy places the organism in Eukaryota, Metazoa, Chordata, Aves, Galliformes, Phasianidae.
GGUGCCGUCUGCCCCGCGGCGCUGCGGGGAUCUCCGCGGCCGAUCGCUGCCGUUCCCCCGACCCCACUCCCCGCACAUCCUCCUCUCGCAUUGCCUUUUCGCAGCGCGUAGGAAGGAAGCCUGGACGAGGACUGCUAUGAAUUAACCCGCGUUCUCCAGGCAGGGGCCGCGGGGUUAUCUCAGUGUGUGUCCCCCCCGCCCCCGACAGGCACCCUUGCUGGCCGAGGGCGAGGGGGAAAGGGUUUGUUUUGGAGACGCCCCUCGCUGCUCCGUCAUUUGCUUUUGUGGAUGGGCACACAGGGACGUGGCACGUUCCACACUCGCAUACGCGGAGGUUAAUGUUUGUGAUGUCUGGACCUGACGUAUUAGCAACAACACAACAGAGCUCGCUGCUGUCAGUGAAUUUCAGAGAGCAAGAGGCUGCCUUGAGAAGAAUAUAGAUGGGGUCCACAUCCAUAACAUGGGAGAAGGUUUAAGAAUAACGUAUUGGAAAAUGGUUUCAGAUCAUUUCACAGCGGGAAAGCCCACGGAUUCAGAAGAAUUGUGCAGAAGGGCUCCACAUCACACACGUGGCUGGGAAGCUGGUACAUGGCAUCACGGCUCAGAAGGUCGGGGAAAAUUAUCAUAAUCUGCUGCUCCAGCUUCUGGAAUAAAAGCCUGUUAAUGCCUGGAUGAAUUGGAGAACAUUUUUCAGACGGAGAUCAAACUUCCACCACGUUAUUCCUUACAACAUUAUUAUAAUAGUUAGAGAAUUUUAUUUCCCUGUCCCUGAACAUUUUCAUAACUGAAGAUGAUGGAAGACUUUGACAGCAGUGGAAAGCUAUUGUUCUUUUCUAUUUGUUGCAAAUUAAACAUACUAUGCAGCUCCACUUUCAGUAAUGUAAGGACUAAUUGAACCUCUCAAGAGAAACCAUUAACUUUGAGUUAGCUGUUGUUGGCUUUGUUAUUUUGGCACAGCUGUUCAGAGCAGAACAUGUGCUGUCACUACAUCCAUUGGUAUACUGACGGAGGGAAGAGGAUCAGCUACGCCACAUCAAGCCUUUUCAGUGUUCCACGUCUGUUUGUAGAAGGAUGUACAGGGUUCAAAAUGCAUUGGGAAAAUGUUGCAGAGUCUCAUUUUGUCUCUACCAGAAAGAAAAAGAAGAAAUUUAACUUCCACUAGCUUCACUGUGGUCAGUAUUUUACUUGAAAGAUGCCAUGGUUCUGUACUGAAGAAGCCAAAUGAUUUGCUAUUUCAGCUGUGUUUUCUUUCUACAUAUCCAUAUGAGGCAGAUCUUUAAAGCUCAGAACUUUUAGAAUGACUCAGUGUUAACAACUGCUAAUACAAGGAAUACUGCAUUUUAAGUAAUUCUAUACUACUGUAAUUAAACCGUUCUCGUAGUUUAAAAUAAAAAGAAACAGCCACGUCUGUAGGGACAGGUUUGUUGAAUUGCAGAUUGCAGAUUAGUCCUGAAGCAUCACAUCUCUCAUUUCUGCUAAACAAACAGUUUCAUUUACAAUGCUUUACUUUAGGGUUUCUUUUUUAGAUUGGGUUAGGUCAUUAUGUGAUAAUACAAAAAAAUAUAGACGUGAUGGAAAUAGACUUUUGUUUCAAGAAACUGUAUCUCUUAAAAGCAAGGAAUAAGUUCAUCAUCACUACUGUCUUUAUUCAUACGCUUUUAUGUUAUUACCCAUUUUCAGUAUAUGCAUGGCAGCUUAGGAACUCACGCAACUAAGGCACAUAUAUAUAUAUGUUCCUUGUUUAGCCAAAGGAAAUUGUUUAAAGCGCAUGACUUUGUGAAGUCUAGAAGAGAUAAAGGAAGAGCUGGGUGCUGCUCAAAGAGAUUAGUGCUAGGGAAAUAAUGACAGACUUUUAGUUAUGCAAGUAUUAGGGAGCACUGCCAUGGUAAGAGUGUAAGCUGUGCUAGCAGAGUCUGUAAUAGGAUCAAGCUGGAUAAAACUUUCUCCUUAUGCAUGAAGGAGCGCUUUCAUAAGUCAGUGUUCUUCUGUUAUAAUCCUUGAGGUCUAAUUCAAGAAAAGUUCAUCAUAUGAGAUUUUCAUUCAAAGAGACUAGUGCAGCCUGAAAAGCAGGGCAGGACUUACCAGCUCAUGUUUCAGCGUGCACUUACAUUUUUGAAAGAAAAUGUUGAUGUAAACGAAGGAAAAAAAUAUCUGUUUUGAAGUAUUUGAAGGCUCUAAUGGUUGUUUUUGUGCACUGCACAAAUUACUGCUGGGAGCUGUGAGAGAGAGGAAAAGGAACACAACUGCCUCUUCCCACCAGUACCCCUCCCAAAACUUUGAUACCCCUGAGUGCAAUGAGGAGCUGAAAGCACAACAGAAUUCACAUACAGCCUGGACCACUGUAACAACCGUGACAAAAUGAUAUGCCUUUGAUAAACAAAACACAGUAAUGGAAAGUUUGGCUAUCCUUUGCGAUCAUCUCUUCUGAGGAUAUGGAACAGUAUACAAUUAAAAUAUCCAGAAAGACUAUCCAAGAAAGUCACUAAUUCUAUCUUUUACUGUAUUCUCAGUGAAAUUUGUUUCCAGUCUAUUUUUCUUCAAAGAUGGUAGUCUUUGAAAGAAGUCUUUGAAAGACUUUGAAAGUCUUUGAAAGACUACCAUCUUCGGAUGGUAGAAAAACUCUUUCCUACCCAAAGUGAUGAAUAUUGCCUUUCUUCUGCUCCUGCUGAACGGUCUUCAAUAUUUACUUGUAACAAUCA